RNAcentral lists this ribosomal RNA (209 nucleotides) under uncultured bacterium. Its description in RNAcentral is "partial 16S ribosomal RNA". It matches the Rfam family "Bacterial small subunit ribosomal RNA", at positions 568 to 776 of the family's 1533-position model. The record is from RNAcentral.
CGCGUAGGCGGCGGAGCGUGUCGGAUGUGAAAUCCCCGGGCCCAACCCGGGAAGUGCGUCCGAAACUGCCCCGCUGGAGGACGGAAGAGGGAAUCGGAAUUCCUAGUGUAGCGGUGAAAUGCGUAGAUAUUAGGAGGAACACCAGUGGCGAAGGCGGCUUGCUGGACGACAACUGACGCUGAGGCGCGAAAGCGUGGGGAGGCAAAACA